This 415-nucleotide ribosomal RNA is filed under the name uncultured crenarchaeote. Its description in RNAcentral is "partial 16S ribosomal RNA". It matches the Rfam family "Archaeal small subunit ribosomal RNA", at positions 330 to 747 of the family's 1478-position model. Lineage: Archaea; Thermoproteati; Thermoproteota. The record is from RNAcentral.
GCGCACCAGUCGCGAAAACUCCGCAAUACGCGAAAGCGUGACGGGGCCAUCCCGAGUGCCGUCCGCUGAGGAUGGCUUUUCCCCUGUGUAGAUAGCUGGGGGAAUAAGGAGAGGGCAAGUCUGGUGUCAGCCGCCGCGGUAAUACCAGCUCUUCGAGUGGUAGGGAUGUUUAUUGGGCCUGAAGCAUCCGUAGCUGGCUGAACAAGUCCUCCGUUAAAUCCAGCGAUUUAAUCGUUGGAUUGCGGGGGAUACUGCUCGGCUAGUGGGUGGGAGAGGCCAACGGUAUUCUCGGGGUAGGGGUGAAAUCCUAUAAUCCCGGGAGGACCACCAGUGGCGAAGGCGGCCGGCCAAAACGCGCCCGACGGUGAGGGACGAAAGCUGGGGGAGCGAACGGGAUUAGAUACCCCCGUAGUCC